UGAAAAAGAACUACGAACAGCAUACAAAUAUAUACAAAGAUAUCUAUAGCACAGUGAAAGAGAUAAAGAACAGUACAUAAGUACUACUGUCUCUAAAAGUUCACCCAAAAAAAAGUGAAAGGAAAAUUAUGCUUCAUGGUGAGCACCGAGGUGGUUGCCGAAGAGACAUGGGCUAAUGAGUGUGUCAGGCUUCUUCCUACAGAAGUUUAGUGUUAAGUACUGCAAGAUGUAUUUCGAUAUAUGCUAAUUAUGAUGCAGUUAUUGUAACCACAAAUUUGCUAAAUAGUGUAUCUAAAAGAGAAUAUUUAAUGUCAUAGUAAGAAUGAACGAAUUUAGGAAUUGUUCUACGAAGGAGACAUCUCCUUUGGCAGUUCCAUGGAAGCAAGAAAACGCCUAGAUAUAUACUCCUUUAGCAGUAGACUCUAAUCAAGUUUUGUGAAGGCAACUUUUUCAUCAUAUUGAUGUAAGAAUUUUUUCAUCCAGAAUGACUCUAUGCAGUGUAGAUACUUUUGUCAAUAUAGAUAUAGCAAUGUCUGAGAAAAAACAUGGACAUAUAGAGAAGAUGCAGUUGAAGCAAAACGAGGAAUUGACCAAGAUUGUAGCAUCAUUUAUAAAAUGAGGAAUUGACCUUAAUAUUCAGAAGUUGCAAUGAGGCAUAUUCUUUGCCGUGCUGCUUGCUAAAAAUUGUGAAAAGGUCCCCCAUCUACACGCACAUGUAAAUGUAUAGUGCACAAGAUUAAUGACUCAGAAAAACAAACAUGGAAAUUAGAUUACGACACUAUGAUGGCUCCAUGUUCUCAGAUAGUGGCGAUGCUGUCAUCGAUAGAGACAUAACGGCUGACAAAAGGUCCUGAAGAGAAGCCAUGGAACUAUUUCAGCAGGUCCAGAAUUCUUAAUUAUAUAGCCUGCAGUUCAAGUUCAGGCUAAAACCAAAUUUGGGCAGUACAGAUCGAGGUGGUCCAUCCCUCCUGCACUUGUGUUUUGCCGCUCUCCUAUUCUUCUCAGAUGGACAAGCACUUUUCCUCUGCUUCAAAGACACCUCUUCUCACGGCAUGGCUCCAUCCUUGUAUAAGUCUGCGAAACUGCAGAGUUAUCAAAUUUAAGUGGCAAGGCAUGAAAUUAAAGGAAACUGUAAUGUAAUAGAUAUUCAGAGCCCAUCACAUGGCCUGGAACUAUGAAGUACCAACAGAUCAGAUGCCCAACAUUAUCUAAGUCCUCUAUAUAAUUUACAUUCCCUUGUUGCUAGAUGUUACAAGGCGUCCUAUCUCAUGUUAUUUUCUUUGUCCUUAUUUUAUGAAGGCAAAAAUUUUGUAAUGAGGAAGUGGCCUUAAAUGCUGAUUCUGCAAGUGUACAGUAGGAAACACAAGAGUUAUAGAACCAACACAUGAACAGGGGUAACAUACAAGAGAAGAAAUGGAGGAAAACCAAAUCUAUGGUUAACACCUUGUAGCAGUAAGAACCUUGCAAAGAAGCAUUAUUCAUAAAUGCGUUGUAAUAAUAGGAUAAAAAGCAAUCAGAUGCAUACCCAAUGAUAGACGUGUUAGUAAAAAAUGUAAGGACCAGAUUAAAUAUGCCCCAGUGCAAUUUAACCUCAAUUACUAAACUUGGAAAUUGCUAAAUCUGCAAACGGGGGGUUUGUGGCAUUUUUUUAGGAUAAAAUUCUUCACAGCGAUUCAAAACAUAAGAACCACAUUAAAUAUACCACAGUUCAACUUAACUUGGGCCACUGAUUUGGGAAACGACGUAAUUUGCAAACGGGGGUUUUCGUGGCAUUUCUUUAGGAUGAAAUUCAGCACUGCAACUCCAAACAUAUCGGUACUGUGGGAGUGCGCUAAUGUUAAUACUGUAUUUUAGAACUGAAAUACACAUGCCAUGUAUAUGGCAUCUACCUGAUGCUACGGCCCAUGUGUGCUCUAUGAUGUUACUCAGACGUUAAGGGACAUGAGUGGCCAGACCAAGCUUCCUUUUAAAAAAAAUUGGUUCAACAUUAGAGUAGCGAUUUUAAAAUGCCUAUGGAAAUUAAAUUCGAAAAAGGCAUGAAACGUUACCAGGUAUUGUGUGAAUUUUGAUAACACAUUUACAGCAAAAUCUAUAUUGGAAGGACAAAGGCCAUGUGUGUCAAACCAUUUUAUCAUUUUAUCGAAAAUAAAUUUUUUAGUGUACGACAACAAAACUUACUGGUUAACUUGGCAUCAUGAAAGUGAUAUGUAUGACAACAAAUUUCUUGUUUGCAUGUUUUGUAUGUACAGAGCCAAGUGACAAAUAAUUGCGUCAUUGCAUUGAAUGUGUUACCUUGAAGGUCGACAAUGGCAUGGCUAGCUAUCUCCUGCCAAUUUGGGAAUUUCUCAAAAAGAUAUUGUAUUAGCAUCCCAAACUGCAUGAUAAGAAGUAUGAUUUAGUUAGUAUAGCAGUUAAAAGUGUCAAUCUUUGAGGCCACAUGCACGAAACCAAGGUACAAAAUUUUGAGCCAGACACAAUGUAAGCAUAAUUUUACUUCUGAUAAAAUGGAAAUGUGUUCAUAAGAAAGCGGGUUAUAAAAAGAAUGUGCAGAACAUAAUGGGGAAUGCACUGACAUGAAUUGGCACAUGGUUAGAAAGUUGCCAGAGCUUCUUAGAGGCCUCAGUAAUGUGUCGAUCAUCAUUUGUUCAUGAAUCUGGAGCUUAAGGGCAUGCUAACAAAUGGGCCACUCUCCAAAAAUUGCAUAAUACCGGUAAACAGGACAUGCCCACUACCUCACAGGUGAACGAACAUUAGAUCAUAUCCUUAAGCAAUAGAUACAGAAUUUUGAUCAUAGGUAUAUAAUGGGCAUGCGUUUGAGGUAACAAAUUGUGGUGUGUGUUUGGAGAAGGAAUUUUUAAGAAGAAAACAUUAGAACAUAAGCAGACACAGGCGGGAGCUGUGCAAGUAGCCCAUCAAUGUUCUGCCGCAUGAGUAGGUUCCUGAAAUCCAAAACAAGGUAGGCAGGGCUGAGAAACUGAUAAAAAAAUCAACGAUGCAAACUCAUACCUCUCUAAUCAAAACUCUAAAAGGAAAUCUACGUACGCUGGCAGUCUGACAUCAGUUUUAUUGACAAGACCCAUGAAAGUACAAGCUGUGAAAUUAUAUAAUUCCAAGUAUUUCUACCAUGAAGAUUUCUAAAACCAGCUGAGAAAACAAAAAAGAUUGAAUACCCUAUCUAUCCAUGGAAUGGGCUCUGGUUGGCACCCUACCUUGUCUCUGCUGCAGCAGACCUGCAAUGCUUGUUUCUGCUUCAAUCCAGGUUGUGGAAGAUCAAAUCAUUUGACAGAAAUAACAAAGUGCAUGAACAAUGGCAUGCAAUAACUCUUUACCUUCAUCGAUAAUUCAUUAAAGAAAAUGUAUGACAAUAUGGCAAUAAAAUAUAUUACUAUAAUUAAUUUAUUUCAUUAAUAUAUAGUAUCCUAUAACACAGGUUCCAUUUCCCCUGGUGUGGAAAAGGUAUUUAAUCUCUCAAACACCAACAAUGUGAGCUGUUUAAAAAAUCUAUGACUGAAACAUUACCUGUGAGUCUGUGACCAACAAGCUAGCUAAAAGGGACAUGACAUGAUAAAGAGCAUACAUAUAAAUGCAUUUGGUGACACAAAUCUGUCAUGGAGCCAAGGAAACCAUGUAAUCUCAUAAAAAAGUGUAUCAUAAUAAAGGAUCACCUAGUGUAUAAAAGUUAUCAAAUAUCUCACACAAGGUGAGGUGAUUUGAAAAUGUAGAGUCAUACAUUUUUAUUAGUAACAAUAAAUAGCAGAGACAAGCUAAUUAGAAGGGACAUGUAGUGGUAAAGAACGUACAUAUAAAUGCAUUUGUUGACACAAAAAAAAAUAUCAAACCAGAUCAAACCCUGAUGUAACCAAAUGAAGGCAUGGAGCUAGAGAGGGGACAAUGUGGGAUUGGUUGGGGCCUGCACGCGGCUGAGGCUGAGGGCAGGCACCGUCGUGGCCCGCCAGGCGUUGGCAUCGCCGAGAAGGGGAGCGGGCACCGCCGGUGCUACGACGAUGGCUACAACCACCGUCUGAUGUAACCGGAUGAAGGCAUGGAGCUAGAGAGGGAAGAAGGUGAGAUUGAUUGGGGCUUGCACACGGCUGAGGCUGAGGAAGGCACCAUCGUGUCCUGCCGGGCAUUGGCAUCGCCGAGGAGGCCGGAGGGGGUGGCCACGCCGAGGGCCGGUCGCCACUGGUACUACGGCGACGGCUACAGCCACCGUCGGGGCCCAGCCGCAUCGGUGUGCGACCACCGUGGUCCAUGGGUGUUCGGCAGCUGCAGCACCACAUCGAAAGAGAGAGGGAGAGGGAGAGAGAGACAGAGAGCCACGCACGGCAGGGGGGAGACGGAGGGGGCAGCGACCUCGACGGCUCGACCGUGCCGAUGCGCCGUCACCCCGGAGGACGGCCACCGCGGGGCAGAGAGAGAAACACAGGGGAAGACUGGAAGAGGGUGUGCGCAGCUGCUGCGUCGGAUCUAGAGAUAGGGAGAGAUUUCUGGAAAGUGCAGGCGAGCAUCUGGAAAGUGCAAGCGAGCAGCCGGUAGGCGGAGGGAGCAGCGAAGUGGCAGGUAGAUAUUUUUUGCCAUGGCGUGAGAAGGAUGUGGCUGGUAUUUUGAGAGCGAC
This 4615-nucleotide long non-coding RNA is filed under the name Sorghum bicolor (sorghum). Its description in RNAcentral is "long non-coding RNA (SBIC_LNC001177)". Lineage: Eukaryota; Viridiplantae; Streptophyta; Magnoliopsida; Poales; Poaceae. The record is from RNAcentral.